Molecule: ribosomal RNA, 465 nt
Filed under: uncultured bacterium
Lineage: Bacteria
Description: bacterial SSU rRNA
Rfam family: Bacterial small subunit ribosomal RNA
Source: RNAcentral
UCCAGACUCCUACGGGAGGCAGCAGUGAGGAAUAUUGGUCAAUGGGCGGAAGCCUGAACCAGCCAAGUCGCGUGAGGGACUAAGGCCCUGCGGGUCGUAAACCUCUUUUGUCGGGGAGCAAAGCGAGUCACGUGUGACUCAUUGAGAGUACCCGAAGAAAAGCAUCGGCUAACUCCGUGCCAGCAGCCGCGGUAAUACGGAGGAUGCGAGCGUUAUCCGGAUUUAUUGGGUUUAAAGGGUGCGUAGGCGGAAUGCCAAGUCAGGGGUAAAAUCGCGGGGCUCAACCUCGCUCCGCCGUUGAAACUGGCGUUCUUGAGUGGGCGAGAAGUAUGCGGAAUGCGUGGUGUAGCGGUGAAAUGCAUAGAUAUCACGCAGAACUCCGAUUGCGAAGGCAGCAUACCGGCGCCCAACUGACGCUGAAGCACGAAAGCGUGGGUAUCGAACAGGAUUAGAUACCCUUGUACA